RNAcentral lists this ribosomal RNA (472 nucleotides) under uncultured bacterium. Its description in RNAcentral is "partial 16S ribosomal RNA". It matches the Rfam family "Bacterial small subunit ribosomal RNA", at positions 28 to 507 of the family's 1533-position model. The record is from RNAcentral.
GACGAACGCUGGCGGCGUGCUUAACACAUGCAAGUCGAACGCUGAAGCUUGGUGCUUGCACUGGGUGGAUGAGUGGCGAACGGGUGAGUAAUACGUGAGUAACCUGCCCUUGACUCUGGGAUAAGCCUGGGAAACUGGGUCUAAUACUGGAUACGACAUGUCACCGCAUGGUGGUGUGUGGAAAGGGUUUUACUGGUUUUGGAUGGGCUCACGGCCUAUCAGCUUGUUGGUGGGGUAAUGGCUCACCAAGGCGACGACGGGUAGCCGGCCUGAGAGGGUGACCGGCCACACUGGGACUGAGACACGGCCCAGACUCCUACGGGAGGCAGCAGUGGGGAAUAUUGCACAAUGGGCGAAAGCCUGAUCCAGCGACGCCGCGUGAGGGAUGACGGCCUUCGGGUUGUAAACCUCUUUCAGCACGGAAGAAGCGAAAGUGACGGUACGUGCAGAAGAAGCGCCGGCUAACUACGUG